GUCGCUCUUCAUCUUCGGCUUCUGCUGGCUGAGUCCCGCGCUGCAGGAUCUGCAAGCCACGGAGGCCAAUUGCACGGUGCUGUCGGUGCAGCAGAUCGGCGAGGUGUUCGAGUGCACCUUCACCUGUGGCGCCGACUGCAGGGGCACCUCGCAGUACCCCUGCGUCCAGGUCUACGUGAACAACUCUGAGUCCAACUCUAGGGCGCUGCUGCACAGCGACGAGCACCAGCUCCUGACCAACCCCAAGACCAGAUGAUGUGCUUCUGCAUCGCACUCAUGAUGAGAUUGUCCUCCUGCAUUGCUUCCUCUGGCCCCUGGUGACAUUUGUGGUGGGCGUUCUCAUUGUGGUCCUGACCAUCUGUGCCAAGAGCUUGGCGGUCAAGGCGGAAGCCAUGAAGAAGCGCAAGUUCUCUUAAAGGGGAAGGAGGCUUGUAGAAAGCAAAGUACAGAAGCUGUACUCAUCGGCACGCGUCCACCUGCGGAACCUGUGUUUCCUGGCGCAGGAGAUGGACAGGGCCACGACAGGGCUCUGAGAGGCUCAUCCCUCAGUGGCAACAGAAACAGGCACAACUGGAAGACUUGGAACCUCAAAGCUUGUAUUCCAUCUGCUGUAGCAAUGGCUAAAGGGUCAAGAUCUUAGCUGUAUGGAGUAACUAUUUCAGAAAACCCUAUAAGAAGUUCAUUUUCUUUCAAAAGUAACAGUAUAUUAUUUGUACAGUGUAGUAUACAAACCAUUAUGAUUUAUGCUACUUAAAAAUAUUAAAAUAGAGUGGUCUGU
Molecule: long non-coding RNA, 778 nt
Filed under: Homo sapiens (human)
Lineage: Eukaryota; Metazoa; Chordata; Mammalia; Primates; Hominidae
Description: HSALNT0191235
Source: RNAcentral